GAUCCUGGCCUUUCUAUCAACUGUUUUCCGAUUUACACAUGCAAGUAUCCGCACAACCGUGAGAAUGCCCUCUAACCUCCACCAGACCGAGGAGCCGGUAUCAGGCACAGAUCUCUUGCCCACAACACCUAGUCUUACCACGCCCCCAAGGGUAAUUCAGCAGUGAUAAAUAUUGUGCAUAAGCGACAGCUUGACUCAAUCAGGAAAGACAGAGCUGGCCAAUACGGUGCCAGCCGCCGCGGCUAUACCGCUAAGCUCAAGUUGAUAGUUUUCGGCGUUAAGCGUGGUUAAAGAUUUUUUUACUAGAGUUAAAUAGAAACUUAGCUGUUAUAAGCUUGUUAACAAGAAACCUAAAAACGAAAGUUACUCUAUUAUUCCUUGAACCCACGACAAUUAGGAUACAAACUGGGAUUAGAUACCCCACUAUGCCUAAUCGUAAAAAAUUAACUUACAUUACUCGCGCCGGGGUAUUACAAGCUAAGCUUCAAACCCAAAGGAUUUGACGGUGUCCCACCCACCUAGAGGAGCCUGUCCUAUAACCGAUGACCCGCGUUUUACCUUACCGCUUCUCGCUCUCAGCCUGUAUACCUCCGUCGUAAGCUUACCAUGUGAAUGUAAUAGUACGCUUAAUGAUUUCCCAUCAAUACGUCAGGUCAAGGUGCAGCUUAUGAAGCGGACAGAGAUGGGCUACAAUUUCUAUAUUAGAACAAACGAAACAGCAAGAUGAAACCUGCUGUGAAGGUGGAUUUAGUAGUAAAAAGAAAAUAGUAUGUUCUUUUUAAUCUGGCCCUGGGACGUGUACACACCGCCCGUCACCCUCUUCGAUAGCUUUGUUUAACGUUUAUAACUAACUUUUCGCGCCUUAGAAGAGGCAAGUCGUAACAUGGUAAGUGUACUGGAAAGUGCACUUGGAUAAACAAAAUGUAGCUUAAUAUAAAGCAAUUCGCUUACACCGAAAAAAUGUCCAUUAACUUGGGCCAUUUUGAGCCUAAAAUCUAGCCCAAACUACCACAUGCAAAAACCCCUCAUCUCACAUAAAACAAAACAUUUUACCAUUUUAGUAAGAGUGACUAAAAAACUUAUAUGGAGCAAAAGAACCAGUACCGCAAGGGAACGAUGAAAUAGAAUUGAAAUAACCUUCAAGCAACAAAAAAGCAGAGCCCCCCCCCCUCGUACCUUUUGCAUCAUGAUCUAGCUAGUUAGCCUUAGCAAAACAAACUUUUAGUUAAACCCCCCGAAACUGAGUGAGCUACUUCGAAAUAGCUUCCAAGAGCCAACCCGUCUCUGUCGCAAAAGAGUGGGAAAAUUUUUAAGUAGCGGUGAUAAGCCUACCGAACUCAGAGAUAGCUGGUUAUUCAGGAAAAGAAUUUUAGUUCUACCUUAAAGCGACCCAUUACACAAAACAAUAAUUUAAGCCUUAAGAUUUAUUUAAACAAGGCACAGCUUGUUUAAAACAGGACACAACCUAGAAAACAGGGUAAAACUUCACUUACGAACCAAGUGGGCCUAAAAGCAGCCAUCUUUUAAAAAGCGUUAAAGCUUAAUUUUAUUCUAUUUAUUAAUCCCAAAAAUAAACUUCAACCCUUUCUCACUACUGAAUGACUUUAUAAUCAUAUAAAACCGAUUCUGCUAGAACUAGUAACAAGAAAUUGACUUUCUCCUAAAUAUAAGCUUACCCCAAUAUUGACCGACUACUGGUACUUAACGUAAAUGAUUUUACUGUAAUAACUAACCACAGCAAAUUUUACAACUUUCAACGUUACCCUAACACAAGAAUAUUUUAGGAAAGAUUAAAAGAGAGAGAAG
Molecule: non-coding RNA, 1806 nt
Filed under: Phrynobatrachus mababiensis (Mababe puddle frog)
Lineage: Eukaryota; Metazoa; Chordata; Amphibia; Anura; Phrynobatrachidae
Description: partial contains 12S ribosomal RNA, tRNA-Val, and 16S ribosomal RNA
Rfam family: Bacterial small subunit ribosomal RNA (bases 1-924)
Source: RNAcentral